UACGUAGGGUGCGAGCGUUAAUCGGAAUUACUGGGCGUAAAGCGUGCGCAGGCGGCUUUGCAAGACAGAUGUGAAAUCCCCGGGCUCAACCUGGGAAUUGCGAUGGAGACUGCAAGGCUUGAAUCUGGCAGAGGGGGGUAGAAUUCCACGUGUAGCAGUGAAAUGCGUAGAGAUGUGGAGGAACACCAAUGGCGAAGGCAAUCCCCUGGGCCUGUACUGACGCUCAUGCACGAAAGCGUGGGGAGCAAACAGG
RNAcentral lists this ribosomal RNA (253 nucleotides) under uncultured bacterium. Its description in RNAcentral is "partial 16S ribosomal RNA". It matches the Rfam family "Bacterial small subunit ribosomal RNA", at positions 524 to 776 of the family's 1533-position model. The record is from RNAcentral.